Molecule: small RNA, 125 nt
Filed under: Marmota monax (woodchuck)
Lineage: Eukaryota; Metazoa; Chordata; Mammalia; Rodentia; Sciuridae
Source: RNAcentral
GCUGGGUGUGGUGGCGCACACCUGUAAUCCCAGAGGCUUGGUAGGCUGAGGCAGGAAGGUCUCAAGUUCAAAGCCAGCCUCAGCAAAAGCAAGGUGCUAAGCAACUCAGUGAGACCCUGUCUCUA